AAUAUCGUGAAACAGGUUUUGCUUUUAUUCCUUCUUCCUCUUUUGUUUUCUUCACCAUUUUUCUCCCCUCCGCUUCACACCAAGCAGCCUUCCACGCCAACCAGCCACCUCCGACAAGCCACUUUCAUCCAGCCUACUGCCGCCAGCCACUCCCAAAUUCCAACUAAACACCUUGUCUUCUUUUGGUUCUUAAAGCAAGGGAUUUGAACCUCUCUCUUGAUCUUUCUUGGGGUGCAACAAAUGAGGAUUUAACAUUAAAAAUCUCUUUAUUGUGUCCCUUGGAACUUGGGUUGGCUCAUUGGAUAAUAUUUGACGCAUAUUCCUUAAGCUGAUGAAGUUUGUAUCUAUAAGAGGUCAGGAAAAUGUUCAAGAUCGAAUGCCGGAGGCAUGACAGUGCGGUGGAGCCUGUGUUUACUAGAUGUCUAUUUCCUUACUUUUAUUUAGGAUGGUUAGACGUUUAAAUUGUUGAAUGUCAUGUAUGACUCAAUCACCUCUGACUUGAGCUAUUGUUUUGUUUCCGCUACGAUAUGGACCAUUGAGGUCUUAAUUAGUAUGAUAGUAUUAAAUUGUGUUAUGGAGGUUUAAUGCCAUUGGAGUCCUCUUUAGGACAAUUGUUUAUUGUUGUGCAGGCUGGCGCUCAUUGUUCUAUAAAGUUGCGCCACGUUUGUCUAA
This is a long non-coding RNA of Tripterygium wilfordii, 672 nucleotides long. RefSeq lists it as uncharacterized. Lineage: Eukaryota; Viridiplantae; Streptophyta; Magnoliopsida; Celastrales; Celastraceae. The record is from RefSeq and is a predicted model, not a curated record. The transcript has 3 exons.